UACGGAGGAUGCGAGCGUUAUCCGGAUUUAUUGGGUUUAAAGGGUGCGUAGGCGGCCUGCCAAGUCAGCGGUAAAAUUGCGGGGCUCAACCCCGUGCAGCCGUUGAAACUGCCGGGCUCGAGUGGGCGAGAAGUAUGCGGAAUGCGUGGUGUAGCGGUGAAAUGCAUAGAUAUCACGCAGAACCCCGAUUGCGAAGGCAGCAUACCGGCGCCCGACUGACGCUGAGGCACGAAAGUGCGGGGAUCAAACAGG
This 252-nucleotide ribosomal RNA is filed under the name uncultured bacterium. RNAcentral's name for it is "partial 16S ribosomal RNA". It matches the Rfam family "Bacterial small subunit ribosomal RNA", at positions 524 to 776 of the family's 1533-position model. The record is from RNAcentral.